AUUGAACGCUGGCGGCAGGCCUAACACAUGCAAGUCGAACGGUAACAGGAAGAAGCUUGCUUCUUUGCUGACGAGUGGCGGACGGGUGAGUAAUGUCUGGGAAACUGCCUGAUGGAGGGGGAUAACUACUGGAAACGGUAGCUAAUACCGCAUAACGUCGCAAGACCAAAGAGGGGGACCUUCGGGCCUCUUGCCAUCGGAUGUGCCCAGAUGGGAUUAGCUUGUCGGUGGGGUAACGGCUCACCAAGGCGACGAUCCCUAGCUGGUCUGAGAGGAUGACCAGCCACACUGGAACUGAGACACGGUCCAGACUCCUACGGGAGGCAGCAGUGGGGAAUAUUGCACAAUGGGCGCAAGCCUGAUGCAGCCAUGCCGCGUGUAUGAAGAAGGCCUUCGGGUUGUAAAGUACUUUCAGCGGGGAGGAAGGGAGUAAAGUUAAUACCUUUGCUCAUUGACGUUACCCGCAGAAGAAGCACCGGCUAGCUCCGUG
RNAcentral lists this ribosomal RNA (490 nucleotides) under uncultured bacterium. Its description in RNAcentral is "partial 16S ribosomal RNA". It matches the Rfam family "Bacterial small subunit ribosomal RNA", at positions 30 to 507 of the family's 1533-position model. The record is from RNAcentral.